This 254-nucleotide ribosomal RNA is filed under the name uncultured bacterium. RNAcentral's name for it is "partial 16S ribosomal RNA". It matches the Rfam family "Bacterial small subunit ribosomal RNA", at positions 524 to 776 of the family's 1533-position model. The record is from RNAcentral.
UACGGGGGGGGCAAGCGUUGUUCGGAAUUACUGGGCGUAAAGGGCUCGUAGGUGGCCAACUAAGUCAGACGUGAAAUCCCUCGGCUUAACCGGGGAACUGCGUCUGAUACUGGAUGGCUUGAGUUCGGGAGAGGGAUGCGGAAUUCCAGGUGUAGCGGUGAAAUGCGUAGAUAUCUGGAGGAACACCGGUGGCGAAGGCGGCAUCCUGGACCAACACUGACGCUGAGUGAGCGAAAGCCAGGGGAGCAAACGGG